Molecule: ribosomal RNA, 254 nt
Filed under: uncultured bacterium
Lineage: Bacteria
Description: partial 16S ribosomal RNA
Rfam family: Bacterial small subunit ribosomal RNA
Source: RNAcentral
UACGUAGGGUCCGAGCGUUGUCCGGAAUUAUUGGGCGUAAAGAGCUCGUAGGCGGUGUGUCGCGUCGGCCGUGAAAACCUGGGGCUCAACUCUGGGCGUGCGGUCGAUACGGGCAUCACUGGAGUUCGGCAGGGGAGACUGGAAUUCCUGGUGUAGCGGUGGAAUGCGCAGAUAUCAGGAGGAACACCGAUGGCGAAGGCAGAUCUCUGGGCCGUAACUGACGCUGAGGAGCGAAAGCAUGGGGAGCGAACAGG